This 496-nucleotide ribosomal RNA is filed under the name uncultured bacterium. RNAcentral describes it as "partial 16S ribosomal RNA". It matches the Rfam family "Bacterial small subunit ribosomal RNA", at positions 28 to 506 of the family's 1533-position model. The record is from RNAcentral.
GAUGAACGCUGGCGGCGUGCCUAAUACAUGCAAGUCGAGCGAACGGACGAGAAGCUUGCUUCUCUGAUGUUAGCGGCGGACGGGUGAGUAACACGUGGAUAACCUACCUAUAAGACUGGGAUAACUUCGGGAAACCGUAGCUAAUACCGGAUAAUAUUUUGAACCGCAUGGUUCAAAAGUGAAAGACGGUCUUGCUGUCACUUAUAGAUGGAUCCGCGCUGCAUUAGCUAGUUGGUAAGGUAACGGCUUACCAAGGCAACGAUGCAUAGCCGACCUGAGAGGGUGAUCGGCCACACUGGAACUGAGACACGGUCCAGACGCCUACGGGAGGCAGCAGUAGGGAAUCUUCCGCAAUGGGCGAAAGCCUGACGGAGCAACGCCGCGUGAGUGAUGAAGGUCUUCGGAUCGUAAAACUCUGUUAUUAGGGAAGAACAUAUGUGUAAGUAACUGUGCACAUCUUGACGGUACCUAAUCAGAAAGCCACGGCUAACUACGU